CGGACCUAUUUUCUCUCCAUGUCCCCGGAUUUCAACCGCAAGCUCUGGACAUUUAUACCUGGAUCUCGCAGCUAGCUAUCUGCUAUCUGCUAUCAGCUUACGUCGAUCCCCGAGCAAACAUAAAUUAUUCCGAAGCUAGCCAGCUGAAGAGUUCCAUCAGCCACUCCUGGGCUACAAUCACCUAUCCGGACCUGUUUUACUGCCAACGCGGAGCCCCCCUGGGCCUUCACAACUGGACUACCGAUGUUAUCUGCCCGAGGGAGUUAUCCAGCUGGCUCCUCCGUCUCGACGUUACCUGUCUUAUCGGCUGCUAUCUGAAUAGAUCUAUCAGACCAUUUAUUUUCUUUCUUUUUUUCUUCUUUUUUUUUUCUUGGGCCUCUAUAACUAUAUCUAUUUUUUGCGAAUUGGAUUGAUCCCCUCUACCACACAGAACCCCACUAAUCCUACUGACGGAAACGCACAAGGUGGCUAAAAACAGACCUCCAUGCUAUGCUAGCUUGCUACCGAUGGCCCGGCUAGCUGUCUGAAUCGCCGUGACCCCAACCAACCUCACUACUCACUGGACCCUUUUGAUCACUCGACUAAGCAUGCCUCUCCUUAAUGUCAAUAUGCCUUGUCCAUUGCUGUUCUGGUUAGUGUUUAUUGGCUUAUUUCACUGUAGAGCCUCUAGUCCUUCUCACUAUACCUUAUCCAACCUAUUAGUUCCACCACCCACACAUGCGAUGACAUCUCCUGGUUUCAAUGAUGUUUCAAGAGACAAUAUCUCUCUCAUCAUCACUCAAUACCUAGGUUUACCUCCACUGUAUUCAGAUCCUACCAUACAUUUGUCUGUACAUAAUACCUUAAAGCUAUUUCAUCGCCCCCAGAAACCUCCUUUUACUCUCUGUUCCAGACGUUCUACACAAAUAAUUCUCAUUGCUUUUAGCCGUACCCUUAUCCUACUCCUCCUCUUUUCCUCUGGUGAUGUAGAGGUGAAUCCAGGCCCUGCAGUGCCUAGCUCCACUCUUAUUCCCCCAGGCGCUCUCUUUUGAUGACUUCUGUAACCGUAAUAGCCUUGGGUUCAUGCAUGUUAACAUUAGAAGCCUCCUCCUUAAGUUUGUUUUAUUCCCUG
Oncorhynchus tshawytscha (Chinook salmon) is the source of this 1111-nucleotide long non-coding RNA. The record is from Ensembl. NCBI's taxonomy places the organism in Eukaryota, Metazoa, Chordata, Actinopteri, Salmoniformes, Salmonidae.